Molecule: unclassified non-coding RNA, 355 nt
Filed under: soil metagenome
Description: partial contains 5.8S ribosomal RNA, internal transcribed spacer 2, and large subunit ribosomal RNA
Rfam family: 5.8S ribosomal RNA (bases 1-120)
Source: RNAcentral
GAUGAAGAACGUAGCGAAAUGCGAUAAGUAAUGCGAAUUGCAGAAUUCAGUGAAUCAUCGAAUCUUUGAACGCACAUUGCGCCCGCUAGUAUUCUGGCGGGCAUGCCUGUCUGAGCGUCAUUUCAACCCUCGCCCCCGGCUUUUGCUGGGAGCGGUGUUGGGGAUCGGCCGCCCGUCACUGGGAGGCCGGCCCCGAAAUAGAGUGGCGACCACGCCGUGUGCUCCUCUGCGUAGUAGUAAAUCACCUCGCAGGCGGACAGCGGUGCGGCCUGCCGUAAAACCCCCAACUCUCUCUGGUUGACCUCAGAUCAGGUAGGAAUACCCGCUGAACUUAAGCAUAUCAAUAAGCGGAGGA